GACGAACGCUGGCGGCGUGCCUAAUACAUGCAAGUAGAACGCACAGUUUAUACCGUAGCUUGCUACACCAUAGACUGUGAGUUGCGAACGGGUGAGUAACGCGUAGGUAACCUGCCUGGUAGCGGGGGAUAACUAUUGGAAACGAUAGCUAAUACCGCAUAAUAUUAAUUAUUGCAUGAUAAUUAAUUGAAAGGUGCAAUUGCACCACUACCAGAUGGACCUGCGUUGUAUUAGCUAGUAGGUGAGGUAACGGCUCACCUAGGCGACGAUACAUAGCCGACCUGGGAGGGUGGUCGGCCACACUGGGACUGAGACACGGCCCAGACUCCUACGGGAGGCAGCAGUAGGGAAUCUUCGGCAAUGGACGAAAGUCUGACCGAGCACCGCCGCGUGAGUGAAGAAGGUUUUCGGAUCGUAAAGCUCUGUUGUAAGAGAAGAACGGGUGUGAGAGUGGAAAGUUCACACUGUGACGGUAUCUUACCAGAAAGGGACGGCUAACUACGUG
This 505-nucleotide ribosomal RNA is filed under the name uncultured bacterium. Its description in RNAcentral is "partial 16S ribosomal RNA". It matches the Rfam family "Bacterial small subunit ribosomal RNA", at positions 28 to 507 of the family's 1533-position model. The record is from RNAcentral.